Alligator mississippiensis (American alligator) is the source of this 296-nucleotide long non-coding RNA. RefSeq lists it as uncharacterized. The record is from RefSeq and is a predicted model, not a curated record. The transcript has 3 exons. Lineage: Eukaryota; Metazoa; Chordata; Crocodylia; Alligatoridae.
UGCUCAGUCUGUGGAAGACUGCUUGGCAACUCCAGAGUGCAGGCUUUGAUUCAAUACACUUUUCCCUUCAGGAAACAAUCUUCACUCUUGGAUGUCUCGACUCUGGAUGGGGGACUCUGUACUUGUGCUGCUGCUGCCAUAUUUGCAAUGGUACUAAGAUGGUUCAUCUGGCUCAUUGCCAUUGUAACAGAUGCUGGAGGCCUAUUUAAGUAAACACAAAAGAAAGACAGGACUUUGCAAACUGCUGAUGUUAGUGUUGAAAGAUGUCAACCCGUACCAUUUGGCAGAAGGUGGUU